AGGGAAUCUUCCACAAUGGACGCAAGUCUGAUGGAGCAACGCCGCGUGAGUGAAGAAGGCUUUCGGGUCGUAAAACUCUGUUAUUGAAGAAGAACGUGUGUGACAGUAACUGGUCAUGCAGUGACGGUAUUCAAUCAGAAAGUCACGGCUAACUACGUGCCAGCAGCCGCGGUAAUACGUAGGUGGCAAGCGUUGUCCGGAUUUAUUGGGCGUAAAGCGAGUGCAGGCGGUCUUUUAAGUCUGAUGUGAAAGUCUUCGGCUUAACCGAAGAAGGGCAUCGGAAACUGGGAGACUUGAGUGCAGAAGAGGAGAGUGGAACUCCAUGUGUAGCGGUGAAAUGCGUAGAUAUAUGGAAGAACACCAGUGGCGAAGGUGGCUCUCUGGUCUGUAACUGACGCUGAGGCUCGAAAAGCGUGGGUAGCAAACAGGAU
Molecule: ribosomal RNA, 431 nt
Filed under: uncultured bacterium
Lineage: Bacteria
Description: partial 16S ribosomal RNA
Rfam family: Bacterial small subunit ribosomal RNA
Source: RNAcentral